UCUCAUUUCUAGUUUCAUGGAUGUAUCCUUUGGCUUCUCCAUGAGAUAAUGAAGUUCUUAAAAGUGGGAGUGUCAUUUACACUCCUACCUGCAGACAGCACCCGAUACAGAGUAUAAAGCAUUGGCUGAAUGUGUGAAUCUUAGUUCCCACUUUUCCCCUUAGCAUCCUGACUACAGAUGCCCAGAACACACAUGGUGAAUUUGACUGAAAUGAAGCACUCUGUGCCUGCCCCACAAACCACCAAGGGACUGUGGGUUUAUUUGUCUCAAGACGGUCAACACUGCUGUUUUCAUUUUUUACUCGCUGUCAAAUAUAAAGAGAUAUCAUA
This 329-nucleotide small RNA is filed under the name Pongo abelii (Sumatran orangutan). RNAcentral describes it as "sense intronic". Lineage: Eukaryota; Metazoa; Chordata; Mammalia; Primates; Hominidae. The record is from RNAcentral.